RNAcentral lists this ribosomal RNA (1033 nucleotides) under Ligilactobacillus salivarius. Its description in RNAcentral is "bacterial SSU rRNA". It matches the Rfam family "Bacterial small subunit ribosomal RNA", at positions 55 to 1056 of the family's 1533-position model. Lineage: Bacteria; Bacillati; Bacillota; Bacilli; Lactobacillales; Lactobacillaceae. The record is from RNAcentral.
AUGCAAGUCGAACGAAACUUUCUUACACCGAAUGCUUGCAUUCACCGUAAGAAGUUGAGUGGCGGACGGGUGAGUAACACGUGGGUAACCUGCCUAAAAGAAGGGGAUAACACUUGGAAACAGGUGCUAAUACCGUAUAUCUCUAAGGAUCGCAUGAUCCUUAGAUGAAAGAUGGUUCUGCUAUCGCUUUUAGAUGGACCCGCGGCGUAUUAACUAGUUGGUGGGGUAACGGCCUACCAAGGUGAUGAUACGUAGCCGAACUGAGAGGUUGAUCGGCCACAUUGGGACUGAGACACGGCCCAAACUCCUACGGGAGGCAGCAGUAGGGAAUCUUCCACAAUGGACGCAAGUCUGAUGGAGCAACGCCGCGUGAGUGAAGAAGGUCUUCGGAUCGUAAAACUCUGUUGUUAGAGAAGAACACGAGUGAGAGUAACUGUUCAUUCGAUGACGGUAUCUAACCAGCAAGUCACGGCUAACUACGUGCCAGCAGCCGCGGUAAUACGUAGGUGGCAAGCGUUGUCCGGAUUUAUUGGGCGUAAAGGGAACGCAGGCGGUCUUUUAAGUCUGAUGUGAAAGCCUUCGGCUUAACCGGAGUAGUGCAUUGGAAACUGGAAGACUUGAGUGCAGAAGAGGAGAGUGGAACUCCAUGUGUAGCGGUGAAAUGCGUAGAUAUAUGGAAGAACACCAGUGGCGAAAGCGGCUCUCUGGUCUGUAACUGACGCUGAGGUUCGAAAGCGUGGGUAGCAAACAGGAUUAGAUACCCUGGUAGUCCACGCCGUAAACGAUGAAUGCUAGGUGUUGGAGGGUUUCCGCCCUUCAGUGCCGCAGCUAACGCAAUAAGCAUUCCGCCUGGGGAGUACGACCGCAAGGUUGAAACUCAAAGGAAUUGACGGGGGCCCGCACAAGCGGUGGAGCAUGUGGUUUAAUUCGAAGCAACGCGAAGAACCUUACCAGGUCUUGACAUCCUUUGACCACCUAAGAGAUUAGGCUUUCCCUUCGGGGACAAAGUGACAGGUGGUGCAUGGCUGUCGUC